AGAGUUUGAUCCUGGCUCAGGACGAACGCUGGCGGCGUGCCUAAUACAUGCAAGUCGAGCGAUGAUUAGAGAUAGCUUGCUAUCUUUAUGAAGAGCGGCGAACGGGUGAGUAACGCGUGGGAAAUCUGCCGAGUAGCGGGGGACAACGUUUGGAAACGAACGCUAAUACCGCAUAACAAUGAGGAUCGCAUGAUUCUUAUUUAAAAGAAGCAAUUGCUUCACUACUUGAUGAUCCCGCGUUGUAUUAGCUAGUUGGUAGUGUAAAGGACUACCAAGGCGAUGAUACAUAGCCGACCUGAGAGGGUGAUCGGCCACACUGGGACUGAGACACGGCCCAGACUCCUACGGGAGGCAGCAGUAGGGAAUCUUCGGCAAUGGGGGCAACCCUGACCGAGCAACGCCGCGUGAGUGAAGAAGGUUUUCGGAUCGUAAAACUCUGUUGUUAGAGAAGAACGUUAAGUAGAGUGGAAAGUUACUUAAGUGACGGUAUCUAACCAGAAAGGGACGGCUAACUACGUGCCAGCAGCCGCGGUAAUACGUAGGUCCCAAGCGUUGUCCGGAUUUAUUGGGCGUAAAGCGAGCGCAGGUGGUUUCUUAAGUCUGAUGUAAAAGGCAGUGGCUCAACCAUUGUGUGCAUUGGAAACUGGGAGACUUGAGUGCAGGAGAGGAGAGUGGAAUUCCAUGUGUAGCGGUGAAAUGCGUAGAUAUAUGGAGGAACACCGGAGGCGACGCGGCUCUCUGGCCUGUAACUGACACUGAGGCUCGAAAGCGUGGGGGAGCAAACAGGAUUAGAUACCCUGCUAGUCCACGCGGUAAACGAUGAGUGCUAGCUGUAGGAGCUAUACUUCUCUGUAGCGCAGCUAACGGCAAUAAGUCAGUCGACUGGGG
Molecule: ribosomal RNA, 888 nt
Filed under: uncultured bacterium
Lineage: Bacteria
Description: bacterial SSU rRNA
Rfam family: Bacterial small subunit ribosomal RNA
Source: RNAcentral